Molecule: long non-coding RNA, 99 nt
Organism: Felis catus (domestic cat)
Lineage: Eukaryota; Metazoa; Chordata; Mammalia; Carnivora; Felidae
Rfam family: ZEB2 antisense RNA 1 conserved region 3
Source: Rfam
UCCACGCCCCCCCCCCCCCCCCCCCCCCCCGUCAAGCCUUUGGCAUCAUUAUCCUCAUCACUAAAUCCUACAGAGUACAGGGCGGAAAACGGUGCACAC